Molecule: ribosomal RNA, 494 nt
Filed under: Fritziana sp. CL-2020
Lineage: Eukaryota; Metazoa; Chordata; Amphibia; Anura; Hemiphractidae
Description: partial small subunit ribosomal RNA
Rfam family: Bacterial small subunit ribosomal RNA
Source: RNAcentral
GCCCAACCGUAAACUUUUAAUUACAUCCGAACCGCCUGGGAACUACGAGCAAAGCUUAAAACCCAAAGGACUUGACGGUUCCCCACAUCCCCCUAGAGGAGCCUGUCCUUUAAUCGAUGAUCCCCGUUUAACCUCACCAUUUUUAGCCUCUCAGCCUGUAUACCUCCGUCGUCAGCCUACCGCGUGAGCGAACUAUCAGUAGGCCUAACGGCCUCACCCGCCAAUACGUCAGGUCAAGGUGCAGCAGAUAAAGUGGGAAGAGAUGGGCUACACUUUCUAAAAUAGAAGAUACGAAAGACUACGUAUGAAAUCUAGUCAGAAGGCGGAUUUAGUAGUAAGAGGGAGUUAGAGUGCCCCUCUUAACUUGGUACUGGGGCGCGUACACACCGCCCGUCACCCUCUUCAAAGCUUAACAACAGUCAUUAACUCGUGCCCGCGUCAAAGAAGAGGCAAGUCGUAACAUGGUAAGUGUACCGGAAGGUGUGCUUGGAAAA